Molecule: small nuclear RNA, 90 nt
Organism: Cervus hanglu yarkandensis (Yarkand deer)
Lineage: Eukaryota; Metazoa; Chordata; Mammalia; Artiodactyla; Cervidae
Gene: U2
Rfam family: U2 spliceosomal RNA
About the family: U2 is a small nuclear RNA (snRNA) component of the spliceosome (involved in pre-mRNA splicing). Complementary binding between U2 snRNA (in an area lying towards the 5' end but 3' to hairpin I) and the branchpoint sequence (BPS) of the intron results the bulging out of an unpaired adenosine, on the BPS, which initiates a nucleophilic attack at the intronic 5' splice site, thus starting the first of two transesterification reactions that mediate splicing.
Source: Ensembl
AUCACUUCUUGGCCUUUUGGCUAAGAUCAAGUGUAGUAUCACCAGUGUAUCUAUUUCCAAAAGUUUUUAAUCACUCCAGACAGAAACUCU